This is a non-coding RNA of Schizosaccharomyces pombe (fission yeast), 770 nucleotides long. The record is from the annotation of a GenBank genome assembly. NCBI's taxonomy places the organism in Eukaryota, Fungi, Ascomycota, Schizosaccharomycetes, Schizosaccharomycetales, Schizosaccharomycetaceae.
GAGAGUAAAAUAAUGUGGUCUAAGAAACUUCAAAGGCUUUGGAACGGCCGUCAUAGAGGAGGUAGAAGUACGAAUUAUUUCUUUAAGCUGAGUGAGACUGGAACCCACCAACUCAGGGGUGGCAUCUUGAACAGCUUGAACUAAUAAUUCCAAAUCAUUUUUUAAUUGUAAAUCUUCUUCAGACUAUUUGGUUAGUUUUCAUUUUGAAAAAUAAUAGGGCUUUAACUUACUAAAUCCUCUAAUUCAUCCCUUUCUUUGGUAUUGUUCGUUGAGUUUCUGUCAUUAGUUUCUGAAGUCUUUGUCCCUUUUUUGUCAUUUAAUGCAUCAUUACCACUCGGGGACUUCGAACUAAUGUCUUUAGAACUCAUUUUCUAGAUUCCUAAGAUUUUCUGAAACUGAGUAGUAAUGUGUUGUCGUUGAAACUACUCUCACCCUAGUCAGAACCAGUAUACCGAUUGUUUACGUAUUUGAUUAUUUAUCACGUUAAUUAGAUUUAACAACACGCUAUGCUUUCUUUAUGGAUCAGUACAAAUGAAAAAAUAAUCUAUUAUUUAAGUUCGUCAAUGUAUUACCAUUAUUACACGAUGCUUGACAUUAUUAUCUCAUGCCUCUUUUCUUAUAAGAAUUGUUGUAAAAUAACUCGUUAUUGAUUGACUCUUUAUGUUUUCAUUUGUUUAAAUACGGACAUAUGAAACCGAUUUAUAUCACUACACCUAAUUACCAUAGUUAUAGCUUGAUUUUUAAUAACAUGACACGCUCUAAGAUUUUGA